UCUAACUGUACAGCCGCGCUCCUC
RNAcentral lists this non-coding RNA (24 nucleotides) under Arabidopsis thaliana (thale cress). The record is from RNAcentral. Lineage: Eukaryota; Viridiplantae; Streptophyta; Magnoliopsida; Brassicales; Brassicaceae.